Molecule: long non-coding RNA, 1826 nt
Organism: Triticum aestivum (bread wheat)
Lineage: Eukaryota; Viridiplantae; Streptophyta; Magnoliopsida; Poales; Poaceae
Exons: 5
Source: RefSeq, a predicted model, not a curated record
GGAAAGAAAAAAAACGCACGACGACCUCGCCUUCCAUCACCACCUCCAGCGCUCCACCUCCAGCGCGCCGCCGCAUCGACGCGCAGCCGCCUGCCGCCAACGCCCCUCCGCCGUGCGCCUUCCCCACCGCUAUGGCUUUCCACCACCGGCGACACUCGAUGUUGGCGCCACACCUUCCCCCAUCCCCUCUCUCUCGCCACGACCCGACGUCGUCGUCCUCCACCACCAGCCCAGCCCUUGCGUCUUCCUCUUAAAGCGACGCUACCCACCCUCCCUCCUCUCUUUGGCCGACGUCCCGUGCUCCGGCAACGGCAAAAAACAGUUCCAAACCGUCUGCCUCGCCUCUCAAUCACAGGUGAGCCGACGGGAGUCGGUUCCUCUCCUCCCCAAUGCUCUUCUAAACCUGGCCAGAGCACCUGCUCCUCCCAUCACGCGCAGAUCGACGGAGCAGUUCGAUGGUCGUUGCCCAGCUGCGUGCAGUUCAGUACUGCUCUGCCCCAACGACUUCAACCACCAUCUCGCCAGCUUGCUUGUGGACCCAAGAUUGUCCAAGUGAGAUGUUGGGAGAAGGUGCUAGCUGCACACGGAGUCUCGUUUCUUGGUAAUGGCGAACCAGUUUCCAUAUCUCAGCAUAUUCAACAUGUUAAGAGUUCAAUUUGUCUCGGUAUGCUGCUAUAGGGCUUGGGCACAUGCGCCUUUCUCAAGAUGUGUCUGCAAGCAGCUAUACAUUUUUAUCCUGUUGUGCUCUGAUCGCCUGAUGGUCUUGGAUGGUGUAAUUGCUUUUGAUGAUUUAGGAAAAUUUGUGUUAAAUCUUCUCGAAAGAUUCAAGCUGGUUGACAUGAAACCGGUGGUGGAGCAGUGCAGCAGACGUCAAGGCUAUGAAUGGCGGCAAGGGAUAGAGCCCUGGCGCUUGCUUGAGAAUUUAGUUGCUAUAGCUAAUAAUGACUGACCAAAUCAGUAUGUCUGGAAGUUGAACAUUUAGGCUACAACCUGUACGAGACAAAUGAGCUUGUUUAAGGAAUUCAAGUAUGGACGUGGAGCAGCAGAUGGAUGGAUGUUAGCCAACACAAAAGUUGCACACGGCAGCAAGGCCAUUGUCCAUCUCCAGAGAAGCGCAAGGCCAUUGUCCAUCUCCAGAGAAGCGCAAGGCCAAUAGCCCACUAGAUAAGGCUAUCGAGGAGCCGUCUGAAAUAGAUGUACUUAUUGCGUUAUUUGAAAUGAAUGGAUAUCUUGUUGACACAGUUUUGGGAUAAAAUAAAACAGAUUAAGUGAUGGGUGUCAGGCUCUACGGUGUGUUUGACUACAACACUACUGAUGUUGCACAAUCUGCCGGGGAUGAAGUGGCAGAUGCCAUCGCAAGUGUUUGCACAUGAUGCAGUAAUAGACAAAGCAUAUCAAGGUGCAGUGUCCUAGGCUCCUAGGUGUUCAAAGGUUCAUGCAUAUCCAAGUGUUCUUGACCCAUGAAGUAGCAGACUAGCAGCCACGUACAUGUUCACUCUGCAUGGAGAUUCAGUAUGCAUAUAUCAAGAAAAUAUAUCAGACAGUGUUAUUCCCAUUUUCUGGCAACAAGCAGAGUGACUGCUAAGCUCUUCAGCAUGUCCGCAGUCAAUCUGGUAGCAAAAGUAGUUGCAAAGGAAAGUUGACUACACUGACAAAAAAAUAGAUGUUUGCUUUAUUCUAUUAUGCAGAACUAUACUACAUUAUAUCUUUAGACUGGGACACUGAUGUAUAGACCAUCAUUUUUUAGUACUUAGAAGGGGUUCAUGGCAAAAGAUAAAUUUCAGAUGUACAUGGUAUAACUUUCACCUUUGAGGCUCUUCAAGACA